UGCUUCAUCUACUAGGUUAGCUGGAACAGCUAGCUCUAGCUGAUGUAGCAAA
RNAcentral lists this microRNA precursor (52 nucleotides) under Ciona intestinalis (vase tunicate). RNAcentral's name for it is "Cin-Mir-4079_pre stem-loop". It matches the Rfam family "mir-4079 microRNA precursor family". The record is from RNAcentral. Lineage: Eukaryota; Metazoa; Chordata; Ascidiacea; Phlebobranchia; Cionidae.